AGAUUUGGUCGUAGAGCCACGACCAAGCAAAUCAAAAGAAAGCUCACGAGAGA
Molecule: non-coding RNA, 53 nt
Submitted as: unclassified sequences
Source: Rfam